CAGGAUCUCCGAGGAGCCGGCUAUGCAGUGGGUGAGGUCCACAGCCGGGAUGAGAAAGGCGAGCACGAAGAUAAAAAACGCCUGGGUGACGGUGUCUUUGGAGGCGGCGACCAGCCAUGCUAUGAGCGCCACCACCCAGCCCCCGAAAACGCCCUUUAUGAUCGCGACCCAGAACCCAUGGUCUACCUUGCGGACUGCCUCGUCGACGAG
Molecule: unclassified non-coding RNA, 210 nt
Filed under: plant metagenome
Description: partial contains 5.8S ribosomal RNA, internal transcribed spacer 2, and large subunit ribosomal RNA
Source: RNAcentral